This 468-nucleotide ribosomal RNA is filed under the name uncultured bacterium. RNAcentral describes it as "partial 16S ribosomal RNA". It matches the Rfam family "Bacterial small subunit ribosomal RNA", at positions 28 to 507 of the family's 1533-position model. The record is from RNAcentral.
GACGAACGCUGGCGGCGUGCUUAACACAUGCAAGUCGAGCGGAAAGGCCCUGCUUUUGUGGGGUGCUCGAGUGGCGAACGGGUGAGUAACACGUGAGUAACCUGCCCUUGACUUUGGGAUAACUUCAGGAAACUGGGGCUAAUACCGGAUAGGAGCUCCUGCUGCAUGGUGGGGGUUGGAAAGUUUCGGCGGUUGGGGAUGGACUCGCGGCUUAUCAGCUUGUUGGUGGGGUAGUGGCUUACCAAGGCUUUGACGGGUAGCCGGCCUGAGAGGGUGACCGGCCACGUUGGAACUGAGAUACAGCCCAGACUCCUACGGGAGGCAGCAGUGCGGAAUAUUGCACAAUGGGCGGAAGCCUGAUGCAGCAACGCCGCGUGCGGGAUGACGGCCUUCGGGUUGUAAACCGCUUUCGCCUGUGACGAAGCGUGAGUGACGGUAAUGGGUAAAGAAGCACCGGCUAACUACGUG